RNAcentral lists this ribosomal RNA (253 nucleotides) under uncultured bacterium. RNAcentral describes it as "partial 16S ribosomal RNA". It matches the Rfam family "Bacterial small subunit ribosomal RNA", at positions 524 to 776 of the family's 1533-position model. The record is from RNAcentral.
UACGUAGGUGGCAAGCGUUGUCCGGAUUUACUGGGUGUAAAGGGCGUGUAGCCGGGCUGACAAGUCAGAUGUGAAAUUCCGGGGCUCAACCCCGGACCUGCAUUUGAAACUGUUUGUCUUGAGUAUCGGAGAGGCAGGCGGAAUUCCUAGUGUAGCGGUGAAAUGCGUAGAUAUUAGGAGGAACACCAGUGGCGAAGGCGGCCUGCUGGACGACAACUGACGGUGAGGCGCGAAAGCGUGGGGAGCAAACAGG